AGAAGAUACUAAGGGCGCACGGCGGAUGCCUUGGCACAGGAAGUCGAAGAAGGACGCGGCAAGCUGCGAUAAGCUCCGGGGAGGCGCAAACGGCCUUCGAUCCGGAGAUCUCCGAAUGGGGGAACCCAGCAGGGGUCAUGCCCUGCUACCCGCGCCUGAAUGAAAUAGGGCGCGAGGAGGCAACCCGGGGAACUGAAACAUCUAAGUACCCGGAGGAAGAGAAAUCAACCGAGAUUGCGGGAGUAGCGGCGAGCGAAACCGCACCAGCCCAAACCCAUGCACGUGCAAGCUUGAGGGCGUUGCUGCAUGAGGGGUUGUGGGACCGCGCAUUCCAUGGGCCUCAGACCAUGGACGCAGUUACAAAUCCGCGCGGAAGCGGAACGGCCUGGGAAGGCCGGCGGAACAGGGUGAGAGCCCCGUACGCGAAUCCGCGCGGACUGCGAGUGCGGCACCCGAGUAGCGCCGGGCACGUGAAACCCGGUGCGAACCUGGGGGGACCACCCUCCAAGGCUGAACACUCUCCUGUGACCGAUAGCGAACCAGUACCGUGAGGGAAAGGUGAAAAGCACCCCGAGAGGGGAGUGAAACAGUACCUGAAACCGUGCGCCUACAAGCAGUCGGAGCCCCCGAGCGGGGUGACGGCGUGCCUUUUGUAGAAUGAGCCAGCGAGUUGCGGUAUGCGGCGAGGUUAAGGUUUGAACCGAGCCGCAGUGAAAGCGAGCCUUUAAGAUGGCGAUAGAGUCGCAUGCUGCAGACGCGAAGCCGGGUGAGCUAUCCAUGGGCAGGCUGAAGCGGGGGUAAGACCCCGUGGAGGGCCGAACCCACUUCGGUUGAAAACGGAGGGGAUGACCCGUGGAUAGGGGUGAAAGGCCAAUCAAACCCGGAGAUAUCUCGUUCUCCCCGAAAUAGCUUUAGGGCUAGCCUCGGCCGUUCUCCGACGGCGGUAGAGCACUGGAUCGUCGAGGGGGCUUCACCGCCUACCGACACGAACCAAACUCCGAAUGCCGCCGGAUCAGAGGCCGGGAGUCAGAACAUGUGGGCUAAGCUGUGUGUUCGAGAGGGAAACAGCCCAGACCGCCCGCUAAGGUCCCCAAGUUUAUGCUGAGUGGCAAAGGAUGUGCGUUUGCCUAGACAACCAGGAUGUUGGCUUAGAAGCAGCCAUGCAUUUAAAGAGUGCGUAACAGCUCACUGGUCAAGUGGACAUGCGCCGACAAUUCACGGGGCUAAGCAUAACACCGAAGCGGCGGACUAAUCUAUAUUAGUGGUAGGGGAGCUUUCCCCGCAGCGGAGAAGCCGAGAGGGCGACCCUCGGUGGAGCGCGGGGAAGUGAGAAUGCUGGCAUGAGUAACGAGAGCGGCGCGAGAAACGCCGCCGCCGUAAGCCUAAGGGUUCCUGGGCAAGGCUAAUCCUCCCAGGGUCAGUCGGGAGCUAAGGCGAGGCCGAGAGGCGUAGCCGAUGCGCAACAGGCGGACAUUCCUGUACCGCCUGCGGACCGCUAUCACCGACGGGGUGACGGAGAAGGGUAGCCGAGCGGGGUUCUGGACGUCCCCGUGAAAGCGCGUAGGGAGCAUCGCAUGGAAAUCAGCGGUGCAUGUAUCCUGAGACGCGAGACGAAAGCUUAUGCUGAAGUCGGCGAGCCCAUGCUUCCGAGAAAAACCUCUAGGAAGGGACGCAGACGCCCGUACCAAAACCGACACAGGUGGGCAGGUAGAGCAUACCGAGGCGAUCGGGAGAACCAUGGUUAAGGAACUCGGCAUACUGACUCCGUAACUUCGGGAGAAGGAGUGCCCCUGGCGGUGGAGGGACUAGCUCCCCGAGCGGCCGGGGGUCGCAGCGAAACGGCCCAAGCGACUGUUUAUCAAAAACACAGGACUCUGCAAAGCCGUAAGGCGACGUAUAGGGUCUGACGCCUGCCCGGUGCUGGAAGGUUACGCGGAUGGGUCAGCCGCAAGGCGAAGCUCUGAAGCCAAGCCCCAGUAAACGGCGGCCGUAACUAUAACGGUCCUAAGGUAGCGAAAUUCCUUGUCGGGUAAGUUCCGACCUGCACGAAUGGCGUAACGAUUUGGGCGCUGUCUCAACCAUGGACCCGGUGAAAUUGUAUUAUUCGUGAAGAUGCGAAUUACCUGCGGAAGGACGGAAAGACCCCGUGAACCUUUACUGCAGCUUGACAUUGAUCGUUGGCUCGGCGCGUAGAGGAUAGGCAGGAGGCUGCGAAGCCCGGGCGCCAGCCCGGGCGGAGCCGAC
This 2244-nucleotide ribosomal RNA is filed under the name human gut metagenome. RNAcentral describes it as "bacterial LSU rRNA". It matches the Rfam family "Bacterial large subunit ribosomal RNA", at positions 1 to 2190 of the family's 2925-position model. The record is from RNAcentral.